UCCCUGCUGGCGCAAUGGUAGCGCGCAAGACUUCUAUAAUCGAUCUCGAAAUCAUUCGAAUCCUCUAUGGCACAUCUUGAGGCUGCAGGUUCGAGCCCUGCGUGGGGAG
Non-coding RNA from Ciborinia camelliae, 109 nucleotides. NCBI's taxonomy places the organism in Eukaryota, Fungi, Ascomycota, Leotiomycetes, Helotiales, Sclerotiniaceae. The record is from the annotation of a GenBank genome assembly.